CGGGGAGGAGAAGCCAAAAAAAAAAGCAAACAUGACAACUUGCUGCUUAUUUCAUUCGUACGGCUGCAAGAAAGCAACAGUAUGCGGCACUCAAACAAGGAUGGCAAAAUACAGGGAUGCCAGUGCACAUUGUGACAUUAUUACAGAACCAUAAUUCCAAAGUUGCCCAAUAUCUCCACAUAUGGUGUAAUCACCUGUUAAAUCACCAGUGGAUUUGUCAUUUUCAUCAGAAAACAACAUGCCACAGUCAUCAUUCUCAGAAUAUAUUCCUAGUCAAGAGUCAAAAUUAGAGGCACAGAUGGAAUCAGAGGCCAAAAGUCAGGAAUUCUGAAUCUUUGAGGUAUCACAUUCACAAGGAACCCAAACACAUUGCGUAUUGUUUCUGCUUAGAAGAACUUUUCUCAAUAUGUACUUCAUGUGGCUUUCAGGUAACCAUAUUAUGUCGAUGUGAAACUUUUCUCCCUGGUCAUCCUAUGAAGAUGGGAUAUUAUCCCGUUUGGACUUUCCUGGUAAACAAAUGUCUAAUAAAUAAAAAAUAAAUAAUA
Molecule: long non-coding RNA, 545 nt
Organism: Protopterus annectens (West African lungfish)
Lineage: Eukaryota; Metazoa; Chordata; Ceratodontiformes; Protopteridae
Exons: 4
Source: RefSeq, a predicted model, not a curated record